AAAGACUACAAUAUUACACUGUUUAUAUCCAACGUUUGACUUACUUGAAAAGAAAAUUAUGAUUAGUAUUUAUAUUGUUAGUAGAUGAUAAAGCAUGAAUAAUAUUUUAUGUGUGACUAUUUUUUUAAUUUUUUCAUAACCUUUUCAAAUAAUAUGGACGGUCAAACGUUGAACAUGGAAACCUACAACUGCACUUAAA
This 199-nucleotide microRNA precursor is filed under the name Oryza punctata. RNAcentral's name for it is "MIR812 microRNA precursor family". It matches the Rfam family "MIR812 microRNA precursor family". Lineage: Eukaryota; Viridiplantae; Streptophyta; Magnoliopsida; Poales; Poaceae. The record is from Rfam by way of RNAcentral.